This 396-nucleotide ribosomal RNA is filed under the name uncultured bacterium. Its description in RNAcentral is "bacterial SSU rRNA". It matches the Rfam family "Bacterial small subunit ribosomal RNA", at positions 365 to 758 of the family's 1533-position model. The record is from RNAcentral.
UUGGCGUGGGGGCACCCUGACCGCAAUGCCGCGUGAGUGAAGAAGGCCUUCGGGUUGUAAAGCUCUUUUGUCAGGGAAGAAACAGCAGCUCUAACACAGUCUGCGAAUGACGGUACCUGAAGAAUAAGCACCGGCUAACUACGUGCCAGCAGCCGCGGUAAUACGUAGGGUGCGAGCGUUAAUCGGAAUUACUGGGCGUAAAGCGUGCGCAGGCGGUUAUACAAGACAGGCGUGAAAUCCCCGGGCUUAACCUGGGAAUGGCGCCUGUGACUGUAUAGCUAGAGUGUGUCAGAGGGGGGUAGAAUUCCACGUGUAGCAGUGAAAUGCGUAGAUAUGUGGAGGAAUACCAAUGGCGAAGGCAGCCCCCUGGGAUAACACUGACGCUCAUGCACGAAA